UACGUAGGGUGCAGGCGUUAAUCGGAAUUACUGGGCGUAAAGCGUGCGCAGGCGGUUUCUUCAGUCCGAUGUGAAAGCCCCGGGCUUAACCUGGGAACUGCGUUUGAAACUGGGAGACUUGAGUGUGGCAGAGGGGGGUGGAAUUCCACGUGUAGCAGUGAAAUGCGUAGAUAUGUGGAGGAACACCGAUGGCGAAGGCAGCCCCCUGGGUUAACACUGACGCUCAUGCACGAAAGCGUGGGGAGCAAACAGG
RNAcentral lists this ribosomal RNA (253 nucleotides) under uncultured bacterium. RNAcentral's name for it is "partial 16S ribosomal RNA". It matches the Rfam family "Bacterial small subunit ribosomal RNA", at positions 524 to 776 of the family's 1533-position model. The record is from RNAcentral.